RNAcentral lists this ribosomal RNA (466 nucleotides) under uncultured Thiotrichaceae bacterium. RNAcentral's name for it is "bacterial SSU rRNA". It matches the Rfam family "Bacterial small subunit ribosomal RNA", at positions 337 to 795 of the family's 1533-position model. The record is from RNAcentral. Lineage: Bacteria; Pseudomonadati; Pseudomonadota; Gammaproteobacteria; Thiotrichales; Thiotrichaceae.
UCCUACGGGAGGCUGCAGUGGGGAAUUUUGGACAAUGGGGGCAACCCUGAUCCAGCCAUGCCGCGUGCGGGAAGAAGGCCUUCGGGUUGUAAACCGCUUUCGGACAGAAAGAAAUCGCCUUGGCUAAUACCUGAGGUGGAUGACGGUACUGUAAGAAGAAGCACCGGCUAACUACGUGCCAGCAGCCGCGGUAAUACGUAGGGUGCGAGCGUUAAUCGGAAUUACUGGGCGUAAAGCGUGCGCAGGCGGAUAUUUAAGUCAGAUGUGAAAUCCCCGGGCUUAACCUGGGAAUGGCAUUUGAAACUGGAUGUCUAGAGUGUGGCAGAGGGGGGUGGAAUUCCACGUGUAGCAGUGAAAUGCGUAGAGAUGUGGAGGAACACCGAUGGCGAAGGCAGCCCCCUGGGCUAACACUGACGCUCAUGCACGAAAGCGUGGGGAGCAAACAGGAUUAGAUACCCGUGUAGUC